Alexandromys fortis (reed vole) is the source of this 859-nucleotide long non-coding RNA. RefSeq lists it as uncharacterized. NCBI's taxonomy places the organism in Eukaryota, Metazoa, Chordata, Mammalia, Rodentia, Cricetidae. The record is from RefSeq and is a predicted model, not a curated record. The transcript has 2 exons.
ACCCAGGUCACCAUCAUCACAUAGCACUUUACCCUCUACCCUCUGACCCAUCCCAUCGACUACUCUUUUUAUGUGGGUUUUCAAGACAGGAUUUCUCUGUGUAACAGCCCUGGCUGUCCUGGAAGUUUCUUUGUAGACCAGACUAGCCUUGAACUCACAGAGAUCCAUCUGCUUCUGCCUCCUGAGUGCUGGGAUUAAAGUCAUGUAUCACUACCACCUAAGAUUUCUCUCUUUUUUUUUUUAACUAGGUGCAGCAAUCAUCCAAAAUGUGUUAAUCAAAAUUACCAAAACCCAAAAUACAUAGAAGGAUAACUUACGGCUUUUUUUGUAUGUUUGUAUGUUUUGUAUGUUUGAGACAAUGUCUUACUAUGUAGCCCUGGCUGUCCUGGAACUCACUAUGUAGACCAGCCUACCCUUGAACUCAAGAGAUCUCGUGCCUCUACCUCCCGGGUACUGGGGUUAAAGGUCUGUACUAACCCACCCAGUUUUUAAUCAGGAAUAAAACCAAGGAUUCAAAUUAAAAACUCCUUUUUACUUACAGGAAGUUGGGAAGAUUCUAAAGGAGAAAAGAAGCCAGAGACUUGUUCAGUUGCCUAACAAACAUACGCUGUUCGUUUUCUGUCCCACGUGCAGUGCUGUGUGUGCCUUGUGCAUCCAGAGAUGUCACCAGCUUACAGAUCCCCUCUGCGAAGGAAUAAAAGACACUUAUUUCUGAUUGACAGCUGACAAACGCUGCCACAUCUCUGGUUAAUAUUGUACCAGGCCUCUGGGAAAGACAGCAGUUGGUUACUUAUUUGAAUGAAAUGUUCUGUCAAGAAAGAAUAAUUUCAAUAUAAAGUAAAAUGGAUAUUUUAUAUUA